Molecule: ribosomal RNA, 678 nt
Filed under: uncultured archaeon
Lineage: Archaea
Description: bacterial SSU rRNA
Rfam family: Archaeal small subunit ribosomal RNA
Source: RNAcentral
UUGGUGAGGUAAUGCCCCACCAAGGCUAUAACAGUNACGGNCUCUAAGAGGAGGGGCCCGGAGAUGGGUACUGAGACACGGACCCAGGCCCUAUGGGCGCAGCAGGCGAGAAACCUUUGCAAUGUGCGAAAGCACGACAAGGUUAAUCCGAGUGUCUCCUGCUAAAGGAGUCUUUUGUCAGUUGUAGAAUCACUGGUGAAUAAGGGGUGGGCAAGUUCUGGUGUCAGCCGCCGCGGUAAAACCAGCACCUCGAGUGGUCAGGAGGUUUAUUGGGCCUAAAGCAUCCGUAGCCGGUUGCAUAAGUUUUCGGUUAAAUCUAUGCGCUUAACGUAUAGGCCGCCGAAAAUACUGUGCAGCUAGGGAGUGGGAGAGGUACACGGUACUCGAUAGGAAGGGGUAAAAUCCUUUGAUCUAUUGAAGACCACCUGUGGCGAAGGCGGUGUACCAGAACACGUUCGACGGUGAGGGAUGAAAGCUGGGGGAGCAAACCGGAUUAGAUACCCGGGUAGUCCCAGCUGUAAACGAUGCAGACUCGGUGAUGCGUUGGCUUGUGGCCAAUGCAGUGCCGCAGGGAAGCCGUUAAGUCUGCCGCCUGGGAAGUACGUACGCAAGUAUGAAACUUAAAGGAAUUGGCGGGGGAGCACCACAAGGGGUGAAGCCUGCGGUUCAAUUGGAUCA